Molecule: long non-coding RNA, 794 nt
Filed under: Marmota monax (woodchuck)
Lineage: Eukaryota; Metazoa; Chordata; Mammalia; Rodentia; Sciuridae
Source: RNAcentral
GUGCCCGCUGGGUUGGCGGCCCCCAGAGAUGGGCAGGUGGGUUUACCUCCGUUUGGGUAAACGAGUUUCUAAACCUUGGAGAAAACGCUGCAGAUUGGCUUGCAAAGUUACCUUAGGCUGUAGAGGGAGGGUCCCCAAAAUACUCUUCGAGGGACAAACGCGUGCGCCCCCACGCCCUCCGCCAGGUGCCCCAGAGCUCCUGGAGCAAAGUUGAACAGAGAAGGUGCUGGUCCUUUUGAACAGCUAGUCCCGGGGCGUUUCGAAGGCUCCUGGCUUUCUUGUACCUACUCGAGGAAGACCAAAGACGUCGUGGCGGAAUGAGUUCGCUUGACCGUGGUGGUGACCUGCUUUUGUACCGUGUGCCAAUUUGGGCUUGUGAAUUUCAAAGCAGCCUUUCAAACGGGUUAAAAUUUUUAAAUUAAUGCGUGAAAAGAAGACAAGAGAAAGGGGGAAAAAAAAAAAAAGCCCUCUAGAUCUAGGAAGAAAAAGUGAAAAUUUUUUUUUAGAUUUUCUACUUAGAGCGUAGAAAAUUAAAGGCCUGACAGUUUGCUUAAAAUAGCUCUUUUUCGUGCUACAAAUAAUUUUUGUAGGAAAAACCGAGCUCUGUAGUCCAUUUCGAUUUUGAAAUGUCAUAAUUAAGGUUUUGUGCAUGCCUUUCUGUGAUAGAAAAAUCUGGUUGUCUUUAGUUCACUUUUUUUUUCUUUCACCCUUGAAAUCUGUGUCUCUUAAAAACUUUUUUUUUUUUUAAGCAAGCUCGUGGUAUGUGAUGUGGCACUUGAGGUAGAGUUUAUGAU